UACGGAGGGGGCGAGCGUUAUUCGGAUUCACUGGGCGUAAAGGGCACGUAGGCGGCUCGGCAAAUCGGUCGUGGAAUCUCGACGCUUACCGUCGAAACGGCGGCCGAAAAUACCGGGCUCGAGGGCGUGAGGGGUCACUGGAACUCCUGGUGAAGCGGUGAAAUGCGUAGAUAUCAGGAGGAACGCCGGAGGCGAAAGCGAGUGACUGGCGCGUUCCUGACGCUGAGGUGCGAAAGCUAGGGGAGCAAACAGG
RNAcentral lists this ribosomal RNA (253 nucleotides) under uncultured bacterium. RNAcentral's name for it is "partial 16S ribosomal RNA". It matches the Rfam family "Bacterial small subunit ribosomal RNA", at positions 524 to 776 of the family's 1533-position model. The record is from RNAcentral.